AUGUAAGCCGUUGAGAACUAAUUCAACGAGGGUCAGAGUAUCUGAUAUUGCAAGCUGUUGAAAACUACUUCAACGAAGGUCAGAAUGUCAAACAUUGAAAACCGUUGGUGACAACUCUAGCGUAGCAUUGGGAAUGGUCCAAUGAUAUAAGCCGUUGAAAACUACUUCAACAAAGGUCAACAUGUCUUAUAGUGCAAACAGUUUGCGACAACUUCAGCGUGGCAUCGGGAAAGAUCCGGUGAUGUAAGCCAUUGAAAACUAUUUCAACGAAGGUCAGAAUGUUUGACACUGAAAAUCGUUGGCGAUAACUCUAG
RNAcentral lists this long non-coding RNA (314 nucleotides) under Panax ginseng (ginseng). RNAcentral's name for it is "long non-coding RNA (PGIN_LNC005294)". Lineage: Eukaryota; Viridiplantae; Streptophyta; Magnoliopsida; Apiales; Araliaceae. The record is from RNAcentral.